This 67-nucleotide microRNA precursor is filed under the name Bombyx mori (domestic silkworm). RNAcentral describes it as "mir-2774 microRNA precursor family". It matches the Rfam family "mir-2774 microRNA precursor family". The record is from Rfam by way of RNAcentral. Lineage: Eukaryota; Metazoa; Arthropoda; Insecta; Lepidoptera; Bombycidae.
ACAACAUUCGGACCGUCGGUCUACCGAGCAAUAUCACCCGCUCGGUGGAAGAUCUUCCCUUCUUCGU